GGUUCAGUAGCUUUAAUGGUAGAGCAGCGGAUUUGUAACCCGCAGGUUAUCGGUUCGAAUCCGGUCUGAACCUCCA
This 76-nucleotide transfer RNA is filed under the name Bacteroidota bacterium. Its description in RNAcentral is "Bacteroidetes bacterium (marine metagenome) tRNA-Thr". It matches the Rfam family "tRNA". From Rfam's summary of the family: Transfer RNA (tRNA) molecules are approximately 80 nucleotides in length. Their secondary structure includes four short double-helical elements and three loops (D, anti-codon, and T loops). Further hydrogen bonds mediate the characteristic L-shaped molecular structure. tRNAs have two regions of fundamental functional importance: the anti-codon, which is responsible for specific mRNA codon recognition, and the 3' end, to which the tRNAs corresponding amino acid is attached (by aminoacyl-tRNA synthetases). tRNAs cope with the degeneracy of the genetic code in two manners: having more than one tRNA (with a specific anti-codon) for a particular amino acid; and 'wobble' base-pairing, i.e. permitting non-standard base-pairing at the 3rd anti-codon position. The record is from RNAcentral. Lineage: Bacteria; Pseudomonadati; Bacteroidota.